This 254-nucleotide ribosomal RNA is filed under the name uncultured bacterium. Its description in RNAcentral is "partial 16S ribosomal RNA". It matches the Rfam family "Bacterial small subunit ribosomal RNA", at positions 524 to 776 of the family's 1533-position model. The record is from RNAcentral.
GACGAACCGUGCGAACGUUAUUCGGAAUCACUGGGCUUAAAGCGCGUGUAGGCGGGACGGCACGUCGGUCGCUGAAAGCCCCCGGCCCAACCGGGGAACGGGCGCCGAUACGACCGGCCUGGAGGGACGUAGGGGGACCUGGAACUUCCGGUGGAGCGGUGAAAUGCGUUGAGAUCGGAAGGAACGCCCGUGGCGAAAGCGAGGUCCUGGACGUUUUCUGACGCUGAGACGCGAAAGCCAGGGGAGCGAACGGG